Molecule: transfer RNA, 65 nt
Filed under: Anthocoris kerzhneri
Lineage: Eukaryota; Metazoa; Arthropoda; Insecta; Hemiptera; Anthocoridae
Also listed under: 2 other names
Description: tRNA-Glu
Rfam family: tRNA
About the family: Transfer RNA (tRNA) molecules are approximately 80 nucleotides in length. Their secondary structure includes four short double-helical elements and three loops (D, anti-codon, and T loops). Further hydrogen bonds mediate the characteristic L-shaped molecular structure. tRNAs have two regions of fundamental functional importance: the anti-codon, which is responsible for specific mRNA codon recognition, and the 3' end, to which the tRNAs corresponding amino acid is attached (by aminoacyl-tRNA synthetases). tRNAs cope with the degeneracy of the genetic code in two manners: having more than one tRNA (with a specific anti-codon) for a particular amino acid; and 'wobble' base-pairing, i.e. permitting non-standard base-pairing at the 3rd anti-codon position.
Source: RNAcentral
AUUUAUAUAGUUUAACUUAAAACAAUUCAUUUUCAAUGAAUAAAUGAAUCCCUAUUCUAUAAAUA